CCCUUAGAUGUCCUGGGCCGCACGCGCGCUACACUGAUGCAUUCAACGAGUGACCUUAGCCGAGAGGCCUGGGCAAUCUUUUGAACGUGCAUCGUGAUAGGGAUAGAUUAUUGCAAUUAUUAAUCUUGAACGAGGAAUUCCUAGUAAACGCAGAUCAUCAAUCUGCAUUGAUUACGUCCCUGCCCUUUGUACACACCGCCCGUCGCACCUACCGAUUGGAUGGUCCGGUGAAGCCUCGGGAUUGUGGUUCUUGCCGCUUUAUUGUGGCGUGACCGCGAGAACUUGUCUAAACCUUAUCAUCUAGAGGAAGGUGAAGUCGUAACA
This 324-nucleotide ribosomal RNA is filed under the name uncultured eukaryote. RNAcentral's name for it is "partial 18S ribosomal RNA". It matches the Rfam family "Eukaryotic small subunit ribosomal RNA", at positions 1470 to 1796 of the family's 1831-position model. The record is from RNAcentral.